Long non-coding RNA from Capsicum annuum, 1849 nucleotides. RefSeq lists it as uncharacterized. The record is from RefSeq and is a predicted model, not a curated record. The transcript is spliced from 3 exons. Lineage: Eukaryota; Viridiplantae; Streptophyta; Magnoliopsida; Solanales; Solanaceae.
UGCCAGCAGCUUCAACAAACAACGCCCAGAACAGCCCAUCACCACACAUCGCCCAGCCUAACAAAAUAUUUAGACCCGACCUGGCCUAUCCUUUUAUCUCCACCAUAAGCCCAACAACUGUUAACAACAGCAAACAAUAAAUGGCGUAACAGCGACCAUCGCAACAGCUUUAACAACAUUCAACAACAGCAAUACACGACAACACACCAACAACGGCAAAACCCUAGUCGUUCCUUUUACCAGAUUACCCUUUUCGCACAGCCGAAAAUGGCUAAGGGUCCAUCCAUUUUUUCGUUUUCAGCUUGUGCUCGGCCAUUUGCGGCAAUACCACAGCGGAUACCUCCUCCUCCAUUAAAUUUUUUUAGUCAUAGGCCAUUAGUGGCCUUGUCCAACUGUGGACCUCAAUUUUUCAAGAAAUUCAAUUCAGAAUCCUAAAUUGAAAUCCGAAAACCCUAACUAUUUCCCCCCAAUUUGCUAAGAAGAAGGGGGGAUGAGGGGAUUUUCCAGGAAAUACUUAGAGGUUCUGGAGGCGCGUGCUUCUAACGUCACGCAAUCGAAAUUCUCGAAGAACACACUUGAAAAGUCGAUCCCAACGAAAGGUUAAAACUCCAAUGAACCAAGCAAUUAAAACUUCGGUGGGAAAAGCUCCAUCGUGAUAGGCUCGUUUGUCUCCAUUCCUUCCUGAAAAAAGGACCUUGGUUAGAGAUGACAUGCUAUAGGACCUAAUUGGCUGAGCAUUAGAUACUAAAGCCAAAUAGUGAUCCUAUUGUUGAACUGGAAGUUAAUGAUUGAUGUCCUCAUAUUGCUUCAAGGUUGACAGAUACUUGAUGUCUGAAUUUUGGUACAUGAACGGAGCUCGUCCUCUGCAGGUCAUAACGGGUGGGAGCACUCAUAAGACCCUUAGCUUAUAUGUACAAGGUAUGUAUGAGUGUGACCAUUUCUUGAGUGGAGCGGAUAUAUGAUUAUUGUUUAUAUUGAUUUCAUGAGUGGAUCAAGUUAUAUGUGGUUGUUGUUGUGGGUCUUUGAGUGAAUUGGAUUAUGACGUUGCUCGAUAUAUUUAAAAUUCUUGUGUGGUCUGCUUACUUGACAUAUAUUUUGGGAUUCUUGUUGUUAGAGUUAGGAUUGUUGAUUGGUCAUGGUUUGACUUGACUUAUUGUCUCUUGAAUUGUACUUGACUGAAGUUAUAGAGUUACUUGAAAAGGCUAAAUUUCAUAAACUUUAGGUAGCUAUCACAAUAUGUGUUCAUCAUUGUAUUUGUUACAAGGUGAUGAUUAUUGAUUUUCAUUUAUCAUUGAGAUUAAUUAAGACGUAAGUGAAAUAAAUUGACUUAAUAAUUGUUGGUAUCAAACAAGUGAGAGAUAGGAUAGACGACCCUUGAUGUGAAGGUGAUGAAUGAUCAACAGAAAUAAUAAUAAAAAUACUCUUAGUUAAACUAAGGGAUAAGGAUAGCAUAAUUGGAUGAUAGGUUACGAAAUAAAUUAUUAUAUAAGCUGUCAUAUUUUCUUUUUAUAGUUUCUAUAUUGUGUUUAUGCGAUCUUACCUUGGUUGGUCGAUUAUACCUACUAGUAUGUGUUAUUUGUAAUGAUACUACUCUUGCUAUGCCUUUUUUGGGAUAUGGUCUGAUUGCAGGAUUAAUUGAUGUUUCUCAGAUAACGUGGAUAGUGAUUACCGAGAGCUUUUACUCCUCUCAUUCAUGGUGUAAGUUGAGUCUAGUUUUAUGUUCUUAAUUUAGAAGCUCUUAUAUCUGUUUAGACUAGAUUCUUGAGGUAAUUUUUAUUUUACAUGCAAUAUUUGUAAAAUAUUGGUAUUUUGUCAUUUAUUAAAGACUUCUAUAUAUUUUUUUAAAGGA